This 482-nucleotide ribosomal RNA is filed under the name uncultured bacterium. RNAcentral describes it as "partial 16S ribosomal RNA". It matches the Rfam family "Bacterial small subunit ribosomal RNA", at positions 28 to 506 of the family's 1533-position model. The record is from RNAcentral.
GACGAACGCUGGCGGCGUGCCUAACACAUGCAAGUCGAGCGGGGAUUUAAGUGGAAGUUCUUCGGAAUGGAGAUUUAAAUUCUAGCGGCGGACGGGUGAGUAACGCGUGAACAAUCUGUCCCGGACAGGGGGAUAACACUUGGAAACAGGUGCUAAUACCGCAUAAGACCACGGCCUCGCAUGGGGCUGAGGUAAAAGGAGCAAUCCGGUUCGGGGUGAGUUCGCGUCCGAUUAGCUAGUUGGUGAGGUAACGGCCCACCAAGGCGACGAUCGGUAGCCGGCCGGGGGGGGUGAACGGCCAAAUGGGAAAUGGGGGACGGUAAAAAACCCUACGGGGGGCAGCAGGGGGAAAUAUGGGGAAAUGGGGGAAAGCCUGACCAAGCAACGCCGGGGGGGGGAAAAAGGUUUUCGGUUUGAAACCCCCUGUCCUAUGGGACGAAGGAAGGGACGGUACAAAAGGAGGAAGCCCCGGCUAACUAGGU